UCCCUACUCAGACUCCAUCGCCGCCGCACCCCCGCUUCUCAGACUCCAUCUCCGCCGCACCCCCGCUGCUCAGACUUCGUCAGAUUUCUCGUUGCAAUUCUAUCACCAUACCUCCAUCAACUUCAUUGCUCACAACAGAGCUUGGUCAAAAGAGGUUUUCGCCCAUAGCAGCACACACGGUCACUACUUUCGCAAUCGCUCAUCGUCGCUCCUCGCUGUUUGCUUGUUUUCCGUUGCCGUCAAUGUCGUUGCUGUUUCUCGUGGCCUGUGUCUUAUCUGCUACAGGUUGAAGAAGAGAGUGAAACGGCGGUGAGCUUCAGAGCAUUAGCACAAGCUGGCGCAAAUUUGAUUGUUAGGAAGAUGUUGUUAAGCCUUUACUUGAAGUUACAAGGACAACUCUACUUCAUGAUUGCACUCUAUUAUGUGCUUGGAGGUCAGAAGCAGAGUCAGCUAAAGAAGAUAAUGGAGUUGAGGGUUUUAAAAACUGGUGCUUCUGUGAGGUUGAAUCUGCUUUCUGUAGCCCUAAUUUGUAGAGAUAAUUGAUUGGAGACCUUUAGGAGUUGGUUGACAUAAUGUUCAUGUGUGUUGGUGAUAUAUGAUAACCAUAUCUAGUUAAUGCUCUAUCACUCAAAGAUGCUGGUAGGGGAAGGAAAAUCUGACGAAGCCAGGAAAGUAACAAAAAUGGUGAUGCACACAUUAGAGUGCAUGGCAAAGGGGGGUAUUCGUGAUCAUGUAGGAGGUGGUUUUCACAGAUAUAGUGGCGAUGAAUGCUGGCAUGUGCCACAUUUUGAGAAAAUGUUGUAUGACCAAGGGCAGCUCGUUAAUGCAUAUCUUAAUGCUUUCUGCAUCACAAAAGAUGUAUUCUAUUCCAGUGUAUGCCGUGAUAUUCUUGAUUACUUGAGGAGAGACAUGAUUGGUCCAACUGGUGAAAUAUUUUCAGUUGAGGAUGCAGAUAGUUUAGAAUCUGAAGAUGCAUCUAGGAAAAAGGAGGGUGCUUUCUAUGUCUGGAGUAGCUCUGAGGUUUGAACUAAUUUCUGCUGCAAUUCAAAUUAUAGCAUUCAAUGGCAGUUCAAGAAACAUCUUUUCCUCACCAUUAAAAGCAUGCAUGCAUCUAAUAAGGUCUCCAAAACUAAUUAAUAGUUGGGACGAAUAUUUUAUCUUUGCAUCAAAAACUGAUUGGUGAAGGUUCACUUCGUCAUCUAUCAUCAAUCAGGUUGGAGAGUUUGCUUGAGUCCAAGUCUGGAUCUCAAGAAUUUUGUGAGGGUAUAAUCACUGAAAGACUACCUUCUGGAGUCUUUGCAGAUUUAUUUGAGCUGCAACAUUUGGUGUAGUGCGGUGUUUUUACUGAAGCUGGUGUAUUUGGAGACAAUUUUAGAAUUGCCUUCAUUUCGGUCAAAUCAGUCACUGAUUGAGGUUCACUUGGAAAUAAGCUUUAAAUUAUUUUCAAGGCACAAAGAUGAAGUAGAAUUGAAAAUUGAGCUUCCACUACAGGCACGUUAUCAGGUUGCUUAGGAGAUUGAAUUAGAAGUUAAAUUCCAGAAUUUCAGAUUGACUUGUUAUAAAUUUUGAACUGUAUAUUCAUGAAUGAAUUCUAUUCAAGUGUAUGACAUGUGUAUAUAUUUUUCAACAAAUAUCCUACGAAUUUGCUACUA
Ipomoea triloba (trilobed morning glory) is the source of this 1652-nucleotide RNA transcript. It is a transcript of the gene named spermatogenesis-associated protein 20-like, with no coding region annotated. The record is from RefSeq and is a predicted model, not a curated record. Lineage: Eukaryota; Viridiplantae; Streptophyta; Magnoliopsida; Solanales; Convolvulaceae. The transcript has 8 exons.